RNAcentral lists this ribosomal RNA (1343 nucleotides) under uncultured bacterium. Its description in RNAcentral is "16S ribosomal RNA". It matches the Rfam family "Bacterial small subunit ribosomal RNA", at positions 28 to 1378 of the family's 1533-position model. The record is from RNAcentral.
GACGAACGCUGGCGGCGUGCUUAACACAUGCAAGUCGAACGGAAAGGCCCUGCUUUUGUGGGGUGCUCGAGUGGCGAACGGGUGAGUAACACGUGAGUAACCUGCCCUUGACUUUGGGAUAACUUCAGGAAACUGGGGCUAAUACCGGAUAGGAGCUCCUGCUGCAUGGUGGGGGUUGGAAAGUUUUGGCGGUUGGGGAUGGACUCGCGGCUUAUCAGCUUGUUGGUGGGGUAGUGGCUUACCAAGGCUUUGACGGGUAGCCGGCCUGAGAGGGUGACCGGCCACAUUGGGACUGAGAUACGGCCCAGACUCCUACGGGAGGCAGCAGUGGGGAAUAUUGCACAAUGGGCGGAAGCCUGAUGCAGCAACGCCGCGUGCGGGAUGACGGCCUUCGGGUUGUAAACCGCUUUCGCCUGUGACGAAGCGUGAGUGACGGUAAUGGGUAAAGAAGCACCGGCUAACUACGUGCCAGCAGCCGCGGUGAUACGUAGGGUGCGAGCGUUGUCCGGAUUUAUUGGGCGUAAAGGGCUCGUAGGUGGUUGAUCGCGUCGGAAGUGUAAUCUUGGGGCUUAACCCUGAGCGUGCUUUCGAUACGGGUUGACUUGAGGAAGGUAGGGGAGAAUGGAAUUCCUGGUGGAGCGGUGGAAUGCGCAGAUAUCAGGAGGAACACCAGUGGCGAAGGCGGUUCUCUGGGCCUUUCCUGACGCUGAGGAGCGAAAGCGUGGGGAGCGAACAGGCUUAGAUACCCUGGUAGUCCACGCUGUAAACGGUGGGUACUAGGUGUGGGGUCCAUUCCACGGGUUCCGUGCCGUAGCUAACGCUUUAAGUACCCCGCCUGGGGAGUACGGCCGCAAGGCUAAAACUCAAAGGAAUUGACGGGGCCCCGCACAAGCGGCGGAGCAUGCGGAUUAAUUCGAUGCAACGCGUAGAACCUUACCUGGGUUUGACAUGGAUCGGGAGUGCUCAGAGAUGGGUGUGCCUCUUUUGGGGUCGGUUCACAGGUGGUGCAUGCCUGUCGUCAGCUCGUGUCGUGAGAUGUUGGGUUAAGUCCCGCAACGAGCGCAACCCUUGUUCACUGUUGCCAGCACGUUAUGGUGGGGACUCAGUGGAGACCGCCGGGGUCAACUCGGAGGAAGGUGGGGAUGACGUCAAGUCCUCAUGCCCCUUAUGUCCAGGGCUUCACGCAUGCUACAAUGGCUGGUACAGAGAGUGGCGAGCCUGUGAGGGUGAGCGAAUCUCGGAAAGCCGGUCUCAGUUCGGAUUGGGGUCUGCAACUCGACCUCAUGAAGUCGGAGUCGCUAGUAAUCGCAGAUCAGCAACGCUGCGGUGAAUACGUUCCCGGG